This 163-nucleotide small nuclear RNA is filed under the name Prolemur simus (greater bamboo lemur). RNAcentral describes it as "U1 spliceosomal RNA (ENSPSMG00000015422.1)". It matches the Rfam family "U1 spliceosomal RNA". Rfam says of the family: U1 is a small nuclear RNA (snRNA) component of the spliceosome (involved in pre-mRNA splicing). Lineage: Eukaryota; Metazoa; Chordata; Mammalia; Primates; Lemuridae. The record is from RNAcentral.
AUACUUACCUGGCAGAGGAGAUACCAUGAUCCUGAAGGUGGUCUUCCCAGGGCGAGGCUUAUCCAUUGUACUCUGGAUGUGCCAAUCCCUGUGAUUUCCCCAGAAAAAAAACGGGGUGCUGUUUUACUUCAUGAGUUAAAUAAAACAAAGAAAUGUUUUUUAA